Molecule: long non-coding RNA, 251 nt
Filed under: Vigna radiata
Lineage: Eukaryota; Viridiplantae; Streptophyta; Magnoliopsida; Fabales; Fabaceae
Description: long non-coding RNA (VRAD_LNC001795)
Source: RNAcentral
AAAUUUUGGCGCCGUUGCCGGGGACCAACGGUUCGGUUUUAGGUCUUUUGUUAUGUUAGUGUGUGUUGUGUUUUGUCUCGUGUUGUGAGUGUGAUGUUUUGUUUUGUGUGUUCGUCAUUGUGUGUUGCAUUUAGGUAGCUUUAGUUGCAUAUUUUCAUUGCAUUCUUCUUUUCCCCUUUCUUUCUACAUGUCUACCUAUUUUGGCUAUGUGAGUAAUUCUUAUUCUGCCUGUGUCUAUGAUUCUCCUCCUG